This 643-nucleotide ribosomal RNA is filed under the name Burkholderia sp. LIG2AAAC. Its description in RNAcentral is "bacterial SSU rRNA". It matches the Rfam family "Bacterial small subunit ribosomal RNA", at positions 19 to 655 of the family's 1533-position model. The record is from RNAcentral. Lineage: Bacteria; Pseudomonadati; Pseudomonadota; Betaproteobacteria; Burkholderiales; Burkholderiaceae.
CUGGCUCAGAUUGAACGCUGGCGGCAUGCCUUACACAUGCAAGUCGAACGGCAGCACGGGUGCUUGCACCUGGUGGCGAGUGGCGAACGGGUGAGUAAUACAUCGGAACAUGUCCUGUAGUGGGGGAUAGCCCGGCGAAAGCCGGAUUAAUACCGCAUACGAUCUACGGAUGAAAGCGGGGGACCUUCGGGCCUCGCGCUAUAGGGUUGGCCGAUGGCUGAUUAGCUAGUUGGUGGGGUAAAGGCCUACCAAGGCGACGAUCAGUAGCUGGUCUGAGAGGACGACCAGCCACACUGGGACUGAGACACGGCCCAGACUCCUACGGGAGGCAGCAGUGGGGAAUUUUGGACAAUGGGCGAAAGCCUGAUCCAGCAAUGCCGCGUGUGUGAAGAAGGCCUUCGGGUUGUAAAGCACUUUUGUCCGGAAAGAAAUCCUUGAUUCUAAUACAGUCGGGGGAUGACGGUACCGGAAGAAUAAGCACCGGCUAACUACGUGCCAGCAGCCGCGGUAAUACGUAGGGUGCAAGCGUUAAUCGGAAUUACUGGGCGUAAAGCGUGCGCAGGCGGUUUGCUAAGACCGAUGUGAAAUCCCCGGGCUCAACCUGGGAACUGCAUUGGUGACUGGCAAGCUAGAGUAUGGCAGA